This 1371-nucleotide ribosomal RNA is filed under the name Triticum aestivum (bread wheat). RNAcentral describes it as "partial small subunit ribosomal RNA". The record is from RNAcentral. Lineage: Eukaryota; Viridiplantae; Streptophyta; Magnoliopsida; Poales; Poaceae.
AUGGCGUUGGGGGGCAACGCGGUCGCCGGUCGCCGUCGCCACGUGCUGCUGUUCCCGCUGGCGUACCAGGGCCAUAUCAACCCGAUGUUCCGGCUGGCCGGCAUCCUCCACGGCCGCGGCUUCGCCGUCACCGUCUUCCACACCCACUUCAACGCCCCAGACCCAUCGCGCCACCCGGAGUACCGCUUCGUCCCCGUCCCCGACGGCAUGUCCGGCCCAGCACCCGUCGCUAUCGAGGACGUCGUCUCCCACAUCCUCGCGCUCAACACCGCGUGCGAGGCGCCCUUCCGUGACCGCCUGGCCGCCGUCAUGGAAGAGUACUCCAGGGACGACGUGGCGUGCAUCGUCGUCGACACUCACCUGCUGUCCAUGGUGAAGGUGGCCACGAAGCUCUCCGUGCGCACCCUCGUCCUCCGCACUGGCAGCGCCGCCUGCCUCUCGUGCUUCGUGGCCUACCCUCUCCUCAUCAAGAGAGGCUACCUCCCUGUGCAAGAGUCGGAGCUGGAGACGGAGGUGAGCGAGCUGCCGCCGUACCGGGUGCGCGACCUGAUGCAGCUCGGCAGGCGCCACGACCUGACGUGCAAGCUGCUGGAGCGCGUGGUGGGGGCCGUGAAAGCGUCCUCCGGGUUAAUUCUCAACACUUUCGACGCGCUGGAGCGGCGGGAGCUGGUGAAGCUCCGGCGUGACCUCGCCAUGCCGGUGUUCGACAUCGGCCCGCUCCACCUGUUCUCCCCCGCCGCCGCAGCCGAGAGUAGCCUGCUGCGGCAGGACCGGAGCUGCCUGAAGUGGCUGGACGCGCGGCCGGCAGCGUCGGUGCUGUACGUGAGCUUCGGUAGCCUCGCGUGCAUGUCAGCGCGGGACCUGGUGGAGACGGCGUGGGGCAUCGCCGGCAGCGGCGUGCCCUUCCUCUGGGUGGUCCGGCCAGGCCUGGUCGCCGCGGACGGGCUGACGCGGCUUCCGGACGGGUUCGAGGAGGCGACGCGCGGGCGCGGGAUGGUGGUGGAGUGGGCGCCGCAGGAGGAGGUGCUCCGGCACGCUGCCGUGGCCGGGUUCUGGACGCACGGGGGCUGGAACUCGACGACGGAGAGCGUGUGCGAAGGGGUGCCGAUGCUUUGCCGCCCGCACUUCGGCGACCAGAUGGGGAACGCCAGGUACGUGGAGCACGUGUGGAGGGUGGGCUUCGAGGUCGCCGGCGCGCUCGAGAGGGGCGGCGUGGAGGCCGCCAUCCGUCGGCUCGUCACGGGGAGCGAAGGCGCCCAGAUGCGGGCCAGGGCCGGCGAGCUGAAGAAGGUGGCGAAGGAGUGCACCGGCGAGGCCGGCUCGUCGGGCCUCGCCAUCGGUAAGCUGGUAGACCACAUGCUGGCACUGUAG